UCCAGGAAGUAAAUUGAGUUUAAUGCAUGAUUGAUAUGGCCCGGGAGUGGUGCAUGCUGUCUUUACUGAGCAUGAUAAAGGCGCAGCAGAGUCAGGGACGAGUAGUCCUGGAGCAACCUGCCCCGAGUGACAGGCCUGACAAUCCGAGUGAUGGAUUGGGGCUGGGAAAGUGGUACUCGAAGCGAGGCAGUGACACCAGCGCGCCUCCACUGGCCGCCGAGAGCACGGAGAAGUGGUCUCCCCAGAGGCCGACGCACAAAGGACCAGCUUCACCUUCUGACGAUCGCGGACUGGGAACUUCAAUGUCAGGACUAUGACUAUGUAAAACCUCUGCCAAGUGCGAAUCUGGCAACGCACACUUUAUCCCAAAGGCGCGAGAGGGAGCUAGG
Molecule: long non-coding RNA, 389 nt
Filed under: Equus asinus (donkey)
Lineage: Eukaryota; Metazoa; Chordata; Mammalia; Perissodactyla; Equidae
Description: lncRNA (ENSEASG00005029519.1)
Source: RNAcentral